AAGCUUUGGGCGAGAGUACUUGUCCUCGCAUUUCACGCCGUCGCGGGCCCGU
This 52-nucleotide ribosomal RNA is filed under the name Prospero autumnale (starry hyacinth). The record is from RNAcentral. Lineage: Eukaryota; Viridiplantae; Streptophyta; Magnoliopsida; Asparagales; Asparagaceae.